RNAcentral lists this ribosomal RNA (465 nucleotides) under uncultured bacterium. RNAcentral describes it as "partial 16S ribosomal RNA". It matches the Rfam family "Bacterial small subunit ribosomal RNA", at positions 338 to 795 of the family's 1533-position model. The record is from RNAcentral.
ACUACGGGUGGCAGCAGUAGGGAAUCUUCCACAAUGGGCGCAAGCCUGAUGGAGCAACACCGCGUGAGUGAAGAAGGGUUUCGGCUCGUAAAGCUCUGUUGUUGGAGAAGAACGUGCGUGAGAGUAACUGUUCACGCAGUGACGGUAUCCAACCAGCAAGUCCCGGCUAACUCCGUGCCAGCAGCCGCGGUAAUACGUAGGUGGCAAGCGUUAUCCGGAUUUAUUGGGCGUAAAGCGAGCGCAGGCGGUUGCUUAGGUCUGAUGUGAAAGCCUUCGGCUUAACCGAAGAAGGGCAUCGGAAACCGGGAAACUUGAGUGCAUAAGAGGACAGUGGAACUCCAGGUGUAGCGGUGGAAUGCGUAGAUAUAUGGAAGAACACCAGUGGCGAAGGCGGCUGUCUGGUCUGCAACUGACGCUGAGGCUCGAAAGCAUGGGUAGCGAACAGGAUUAGAUACCCGAGUAGUC